Molecule: long non-coding RNA, 161 nt
Organism: Sapajus apella (tufted capuchin)
Lineage: Eukaryota; Metazoa; Chordata; Mammalia; Primates; Cebidae
Exons: 2
Source: RefSeq, a predicted model, not a curated record
UAUUUUGCAAGUGCACCAGGCUAUGUAAUUAAGAAACUUGCAGGCUGGGCAUGGCGGCUCACACCUGUAAUCCCAGCACUUUGGGAGGCCGAGGCAUGUGGAUUACCUGAGGGUAGGAGUUCGAGACCAGCCUGACCAAUACAGUCAAACCCCAUCUCUAC